RNAcentral lists this long non-coding RNA (3960 nucleotides) under Nicotiana benthamiana. Its description in RNAcentral is "long non-coding RNA (NBEN_LNC027330)". The record is from RNAcentral. Lineage: Eukaryota; Viridiplantae; Streptophyta; Magnoliopsida; Solanales; Solanaceae.
UUACAUGUGUAGUUCCAGUUUUAACAUGUGGCAGCACCUCUGGUUUUUCAGCUAAAAAUCUCGACCGAACGCAGAGAACUAAGGACAUUUCUAACAUUUGUUCUCUCUCUCCUCUUGCUCUCAAGUUUGUACUGCAAUGUGUUUUCUUCCUUUAAUCGUAUUUUCUUGUGGGUAUCCAUUCUACCAUCUCUUGAUUCGUCUUUAUCUGUAUAUCUUGAUUCAUGUUUGUCUAUAUUUGUCUUGAGGAAUAUUUAAGAAAAUUCUUGAACGAAUACCAUUUCUAUUGAAGUUCUCCAGGUGUUUGAGAAAAUUCUUCAAUGAAUUACCAUAAUUUCUUAUGCAUAUUUCUGUCUUCUCUAUUGUUUAUGUGUUUGAAAAAUACUUGAACAAUCAAACUUAUCAUUGAGUUAGCAAGGACGAGGUGACCGCUUCAAUUAUUAAUUGUUUGCUAUGUUUUUCUUCUCGCUUCUACUAUGUUUUUUGCUGGUCAUAUAUAUCAUCAAAUACCUUUGUUUCUUUAUUCGAUCUCUGACCUCUUCAUUUGCUAUCUUUGUUCUCUGUCAAUUAAUUUUUCAAUUAUUAGCUUAUGCACUUUUUCUUUUCUCAGAUGUGCACUGAGGUUGUUUUAGUUAUUUUCUAUCGGUUUAUUUGACGAUAACUGGGGUAUUUGGGGUUUUGACAUAUUUCUCAGAUGCUGAGGGCCUGUGUGUAUUUGAGGCGGAUUCUUUUGCUAUUUUCAUAAUGCAUAGACUGUUUUAGCAUAUUUUUUAAUAAUUAAUUUUUGACUCUAUAAACUAUCAUCUUGGUGGAAAGUUUUUGGAGGGAAGUAUGCUGGGGUCAUUUGGAGACAGUCUUUCAACCCCAGGGUAGGGGUAAGGUCUGCGUACAAACUACCCUUCCCAGACCCCACUAAGUGGGAUUAUACUGCUGGGUGGUUGUUGUUGUUUUUGGUAGGAUGCUAACCUAGAAGCGUGUUAAAAGAUUGCAUUUCCUCUGUGCUUGAGAUAAUUAGAUUCAAAGAGCUAUUUAUAUGAACUCACUAUUAGAUUGAAAUAAUUACUGAUCCAAUAAGUUCAGAAUUGAGUAGUUGAUUUCUUGAUUUGUAUUGAAAGUAUGCCAAAGAGAUGCUAUAAAAUCUGAUGAGUUUUACUACUCAAAACUAUCCAAUUGGCCGGACAACUUCCAGAUCUUCUUUAACCUUUUCGUCAUUUUCUUGCAACUAUUAUGAAUGUACUAAUAAUUGACAUCAUAUAUAUUUGAUAGAUAGUAAGUGAACCAGUUUAUAAGAAAUUAGAUCUUUCACUGUUGUUUUUGUUUGUUGAUUCGAUCUACUUUUUAAUUCAUUUUUCCCUGUUAAAAUAAAACUCCUUUUUAUCGACCACUCCUUUCUUGUUUCAUAGUUUUACUUUUACCACAAAUUUCCACGGCUACUUGUAUUGUUUUCUAUUGUGUCUUGCAGUUGAUAAGUCCUUCCAUGUUGCCUCGAAAAGUAUAGCAGUGGUAGCAUAUAUGACACUCCAAAAGGGUGCUUUUACUAGCAAAUCAAGCAAAGGAAUUGGACUAAGCACAUGUUUUCUGUUACAGUCAUUUUCACUCUUCACCGUGCUUUCAUGUGCCAUUUCUUUUCUGAAAUCAUGUGUGGAAGAGUCUCCUAAAUAUGACACUUCCACUUUUGCAAAUGAGCUAAGGGACAUAUUGAGCAACUUGUGCUUUUUAUUUUUUUGUGUUUGCUCUUUUUCUACUUAGUUUAACAUCUAUUGCUAUCCUUUCUGUUCGCACAACUUUAAUGUUCACAGAUUGAAAUGCUUGGUCAAUAUUAGAAGAAUUUGUAGACAACACUUUUUACUUUCUCCUAUGUGGCUACGUUAUUUUAGCAAUUGUGAAAUUUGAAGAGUUGAAGCUAUUAAGGUAGACAAGGAGUGUCGGUUUAGAUUAUUGGAAGAAUGCAACGUUCAAGUUGAGCUUGUAGCUUGAGACAGGUUAAGGCUUCUAUAUGUUCUAUAAAAUGCUUGAAAAAAUUCUGCUAAUUUAACAUUCAGUUAUAUUUGAUAUAGUCUUAAAUGAGAAUGUGAUAGUAGUACUAACUACUAAAUGUAAUUUUUUUUUCUAGCAUUAGUUGUGUAAUAUUCUUUCCAGUCAUAAGCAAUUACAUUUUUUUAUGCUCAUAUUCAGUUCAAACUCAUUUACCAGCGGGAUCAAUUCAGUUUUACUCAGUAUCUACCUUUUACUGCUUUCUUCAUCCUUAGUUUUUCUAUUUUUACAUCUGCUCUACUUACGUUAUUCUCAAAAUAUAGUGUACACCUGGUUAGUCAAUUUCUUCUUAGGCAUAAUAUUCUAACUAUACAUUAAAGUGAUACUCUUCUAGAUCUUAAACAUGCAAAUUCAGUGUUCCAGAGAGCUACUUUUAUGAGUUUUGUGCUUUAAAUUCUGUUGAUCAUGUGUAAAAGUCUUAUGUACUUGGGCUAUGUGAAUCAGAUGAGAGGAUAAAGGCAACUUAGAGUGGUUCAUUUGACUGUUGAUUUCUAUUUUAUCUUUCUUAGUUUUUUUCCAUAACUGAUAUAUAACAUCUCUGAUCUUUCACCUAAAUGCAGCUGUUACAACUCUUACCAAAGAGGAUAUAACGAGGGAUAAGGUAUGUAUCUUUAUCAGCAAGGCAUAAUGGUGUCAUCAACUUUUCCAUGUUGGUCUGGUAGAUCUUUCUAACCGACUAUAUUUUCGAUUCGUCAUGGACUAAUUGGCAUGUAUAUUGCUUGAAAAAAAUAUUUCACUUGUUGGAUUUAUACUAUUUUACAUUAUAUCUAAGAUCAUGCAAAAAAACUUUCUGACAAAUUUUUAUCCUUGCAAGGCAAUUGGAUUACAGUAUAGUCUCUUUGGAAUUCAUGGAAUUAUUUGAUGCUUGACACAGGUUAUUUUGCUAAAACUAUUUGGAGGUAUUAUACAAGCCCUGCAGAACUCUUCUAUAUAACCUUUUGUCAAUAUGAUUAUUUUAGUGUUCAGCUAUGCCUAGAGUGCAAAAUACGGUUGAGCUGAUUAUGAGACUUGCAGCUAAUGUGCUUCAUGGUCUACAAGUGUUUUAAUCACAAAUCGAUUCCUAAAUUAUAGUUUAUUUUAUUAUUUAGUGACGUCGUGUUGUUAUAUGGUUUCCGCAUAUUAUGACAUCUUGAUCCUUAGCAACCUUUCCUAUGUGUUGGAUUCACUUGCACUUAAUGUUAAGUGACUGUUUUUUUGGUCUGCAAAAUAGUUGUCUCUGAUGUUCUUAUCAUUCUAUAGUUGGAUUACCUAAUGUCUGAUAAUAAUUGUAGGGUUCAAUUACGCACAGUAGACAGUUGGACUACCUAAUGUCAGCAAAGCCCGGGAAGAUCAACAAACCAUUCUGCUCCUCAUGCUAACAUAAGAAGGAGAAACAAUAGUUCAGUCCUUUUGACAAGUAGAUAUCUCUAUAUAUCUUUUUCCAGUUUUGCCUGAAGGCAUUACCAGGAAAUUAUAUUUGAGCAACUUCACUUGAUAUGCAAUUCAUAUUCCUUGGUAUAAAAUGUGUUUGUGCAAGUAUUUUUCUCUUUUGAGAAGAGACGAAAAACCAGUAGUUGGAACAAGCUUUGGUUGGGCCCGGGCUAACCUUACUAGUAACCUUUACAAAUCUGGAGAAUAAACUAUGUAAUGAAAAUCAAAAUGUGGGUCAAGGCUAGACUUAUGUUGGAAGAUGAUACUCCCAUCCUCGACUAUUAAAGUAAAGGAUGACGGUUUGUAUCUGUAAAUGCAAUGAGCAAAACUCAAACUCAAAUUCCUGUAGAGUUAAUUUUACAAUAUGAUUUACUUAAAUAAAAAAGAACCCUCUAGGCUCUAGCUCUGGUAUAGAUAUUGCACUUGGUAAGUAAGAAGAAACUUUGUUUUAUAGAUAAGGUAGGGCAUUCUUACUUUGCUCGUGUAAAAUUGGUACAGUAUAUUGCUCAAGAAUAGCAC